GAAGGAGGAGCUUGCUUCUCCGGAUGAGUUGCGAACGGGUGAGUAACGCGUAGGUAACCUGCCUGGUAGCGGGGGAUAACUAUUGGAAACGAUAGCUAAUACCGCAUAACAGUAGAUAUUGCAUGAUAUCUGCUUGAAAGGUGCAAUUGCACCACUACCAGAUGGACCUGCGUUGUAUUAGCUAGUUGGUGAGGUAACGGCUCACCAAGGCGACGAUACAUAGCCGACCUGAGAGGGUGAUCGGCCACACUGGGACUGAGACACGGCCCAGACUCCUACGGGAGGCAGCAGUAGGGAAUCUUCGGCAAUGGACGGAAGUCUGACCGAGCAACGCCGCGUGAGUGAAGAAGGUUUUCGGAUCGUAAAGCUCUGUUGUAAGAGAAGAACGAGUGUGAGAGUGGAAAGUUCACACUGUGACGGUAUCUUACCAGAAAGGGACGGCUAACUACGUGCCAGCAGCCGCGGUAAUACGUAGGUCCCGAGCGUUGUCCGGAUUUAUUGGGCGUAAAGCGAGCGCAGGCGGUUAGAUAAGUCUGAAGUUAAAGGCUGUGGCUUAACCAUAGUACGCUUUGGAAACUGUUUAACUUGAGUGCAGAGGGGAGAGUGGAUUCCAUGUGUAGCGGUGAAAUGCGUAGAUAUAUGGAGGA
Molecule: ribosomal RNA, 647 nt
Filed under: uncultured Bacilli bacterium
Lineage: Bacteria; Bacillati; Bacillota; Bacilli
Description: bacterial SSU rRNA
Rfam family: Bacterial small subunit ribosomal RNA
Source: RNAcentral